UUCAGAGGUCCCGAGCGUUGUUCGGAUUUACUGGGCGUAAAGGGAGCGUAGGCGGUUCGGUAUGUCGAAUGUGAAAGCCCACAACUCAACUGUGGAAAUGCAUUCGAAACUGCCGGGCUAGAGUACUGGAGAGGAGAGCGGAAUUCUUGGUGUAGCGGUGAAAUGCGUAGAUAUCAAGAGGAACACCGGUGGCGAAGGCGGCUCUCUGGACAGAUACUGACGCUGAGGCUCUAAAGUUAGGGGAGCAAACAGGAUUAGAUACCCUGGUA
RNAcentral lists this ribosomal RNA (269 nucleotides) under uncultured prokaryote. RNAcentral's name for it is "partial 16S ribosomal RNA". It matches the Rfam family "Bacterial small subunit ribosomal RNA", at positions 524 to 792 of the family's 1533-position model. The record is from RNAcentral.